GACCACUGAAGACGUUCUUUGCUCGAGACGGAUUGGCGGCAGCGAGAAGGCAGUGCAGGUGUGCGAGUUACUUUCAGGCUUUGAAAAACCUGGCAAUGAAUUAUUCUGGCUGAGUUCUGUCGCUUAUCAAGCAAAAAUCUGAGUUGCAAUCAGAGUUCUUCAAAGAUCUCGACAAAUAUACUCCUCGCUUCCUGGAGAAGUUCAAAACCCAGAGGGGGAAAGUGUCGGACAGAAACUUGAAUAUCUGCAACAAGUCACACCUGGGAGUACAGAUGUGACUGGGAGGUGAACAGCAGUCCUCCGUAGCUCUCCCUUCAUCCUUGGAGAUGACAACGCAGACUUCUUCAAGAAUUUGACUCUGAUGACCUUCUGGACGUGUCCCACGCCUCCAUUGGGACCCUGACAGUGCUGAAGACAUCGUGGCCUCCUCACUCGCUGAACCUGGAGUCUACAGCUACUGCCAUCGUUUUGGGAUCAACAGUCGUGAUGGGUGACCGUGAUAAUCUUCCCCGUGCCGUGUGGCUACUCUUCGGACUUAUUUACCCCUGAAUUCGGAGUAUCCUCAACGAGUGAGGAACACCUUCUGAAUUUAUUCAUAGAGUGCUUCUCACUUGGACCAAAAACCCGAAAAUACAAUCACUCAAAAAUCUACUGAUGCCAUAAGGGACUGUGUUCAUGAUGUGCAGUCAGGCCCGAGAACUUCACCCUUCUAUCUCCAAUUGAACUCUUUUCUAGAAAAUGUCUGUUUUUGUUGUUUUUCUGUCGUGAAAUUUAGCAAAUGCCGAAAACGCUGUGUUCAUCAUAUUUCUGCGUUACAAAACCUAAUCUGGCAACAUGUUCAGCGUUUUAAGCACGUUGUUUGAGUUUUAAAACAUGUGUUUUUCUUCUAAAUAAACGUUGUCUUCCAUUGUAA
Molecule: long non-coding RNA, 913 nt
Organism: Pseudoliparis swirei
Lineage: Eukaryota; Metazoa; Chordata; Actinopteri; Perciformes; Liparidae
Exons: 5
Source: RefSeq, a predicted model, not a curated record